GAAGUUGGAAUUGCUAGUAAUCGCGAAUCAGAAUGUCGCGGUGAAUACGUUCCCGGGCCUUGUACACACCGCCCGUCACACCAUGAGAGUCGAUAACACCCGAAGCCUGUGAGCUAACCGCAAGGGGGCAGCAGUCGAAGGUGGGGUUGAUGAUUGGGGUGAAGUCGUAACAAGGUAGC
This 179-nucleotide ribosomal RNA is filed under the name uncultured bacterium. RNAcentral's name for it is "partial 16S ribosomal RNA". It matches the Rfam family "Bacterial small subunit ribosomal RNA", at positions 1322 to 1500 of the family's 1533-position model. The record is from RNAcentral.